AAGAACUAAAAAAAUCGACGACAACUUAGAACUUUACACGAUUGUAACAAAGUUUGGUACGUGACCAAUAUAGAGAGAUUAGCGUGACUAUAUUAGCAAUCUAUCAUCGAUUAUAGCAUGCUACCUCUGGCAGUUUUUAUAUUUGCAUUCAUUUUAAAAGGCGAACUGGCGCAAGUACCUACAAGGCCAAUUAAAACAUGGAGGUCAAAGCCGAUUGUCGAUGAAUUACGACUGAAAAAAAACGCCCUCAUUAAUGUUUUAAUGAAUAAUUUAAAACAUCGUCAAUCAUUAAAUAACGAGUUUAUCCGACCCACAGAAGAGUUCGGACAACCAAUAUUGAUACCAAAAACUGACGCUGUUGAUUGUUUUUUCCCUGCCUGCAGAGGAUCUCUAAUAUCUAACACUGGUCAAGGUAGAAGAACAACGGUAACGAUUGCCAUUACCACAAACCAACAAAGGAACAGCUCACAGUCCAAAACGGCGAAUAACACGAAGACUUAUGUGUACAUCGGGGUGGGUGCGGGGGCGCUGCUUGUGGGCACAGGUGGUGCCAUUUCUCUGAUAAAGUGGAUUCACAAGAAAAAAAGUCAACAGCGAGUUAUUGACGUAGAUUCUUCAUAACUUAAAUUCUCUUAUUGAAAUAAAUGUAAACUAAUUGUAAACGUUGUACACUUGUAUUUAAUUUUAUUCAUCAUUCGAGUCAAUGAUACGUAAAUAAAGUUGGUGGU
This is a long non-coding RNA of Magallana angulata, 728 nucleotides long. RefSeq lists it as uncharacterized. The record is from RefSeq and is a predicted model, not a curated record. NCBI's taxonomy places the organism in Eukaryota, Metazoa, Mollusca, Bivalvia, Ostreida, Ostreidae. The transcript is spliced from 3 exons.